Molecule: unclassified non-coding RNA, 313 nt
Filed under: uncultured Ascomycota
Lineage: Eukaryota; Fungi; Ascomycota
Also listed under: 1 other name
Description: sequence contains ITS1
Rfam family: 5.8S ribosomal RNA (bases 1-105)
Source: RNAcentral
GAAAUGCGAUAAGUAAUGUGAAUUGCAGAAUUCCGUGAAUCAUCGAAUCUUUGAACGCACAUUGCGCCCUCUGGUAUUCCGGGGGGCACGCCUGUCCGAGCGUCAUUUCAACCCCUCAAGCCCGGCUUGUGUGAUGGGUGACCGUCCCCCAAAGGGGACGCGCCCGAAAGGCAGUGGCGGCGUCGUGUUUAUCCGAUUUGCCUGAACGUAUGGGGCUCUGUCACACGUUCAUGGUGAGGAGCGGCGCCCGCCGACUAUUCAUCUUUUUUCUAUGGUUGACCUCGGAUCAGGUGGGGAUACCCGCUGAACUUAA